GAUGAACGCUGGCGGCGUGCCUAAUACAUGCCAGUCGAGCGAACAGACGAGGAGCUUGCUCCUCUGACGUUAGCGGCGGACGGGUGAGUAACACGUGGAUAACCUACCUAUAUGACUGGGAUAACUUCGGGAAACCGGAGCUAAUACCGGAUAAUAUAUUGAACCGCAUGGAUCAAUAGUGAAAGACGGUUUUGCUGUCACUUAUAGAUGGAUCCGCGCCGCAUUAGCUAGUUGGUAAGGUAACGGCUUACCAAGGCAACGAUGCGUAGCUGACCUGAGAGGGUGAUCGGCCACACUGGAACUGAGACACGGUCCAGACUCCUACGGGAGGCAGCAGUAGGGAAUCUUCCGCAAUGGGCGAAAGCUUGACGGAGCAACGCCGCGUGAGUGAUGAAGGUCUUCGGAUCGUAAAACUCUGUUAUUAGGGAAGAACAAAUGUGUAAGUAACUAUGCACGUCUUGACGGUACCUAAUCAGAAAGCCACGGCUAACUACGUG
This 497-nucleotide ribosomal RNA is filed under the name uncultured bacterium. RNAcentral describes it as "partial 16S ribosomal RNA". It matches the Rfam family "Bacterial small subunit ribosomal RNA", at positions 28 to 507 of the family's 1533-position model. The record is from RNAcentral.